Molecule: ribosomal RNA, 403 nt
Filed under: Actinomycetes bacterium
Lineage: Bacteria; Bacillati; Actinomycetota; Actinomycetes
Description: Actinobacteria bacterium partial 16S ribosomal RNA
Rfam family: Bacterial small subunit ribosomal RNA
Source: RNAcentral
UGGGGAAUAUUGGACAAUGGGCGCAAGCCUGAUCCAGCCAUGCCGCGUGAGUGAUGAAGGCCCUAGGGUUGUAAAGCUCUUUCACCGGUGAAGAUAAUGACGGUAACCGGAGAAGAAGCCCCGGCUAACUUCGUGCCAGCAGCCGCGGUAAUACGAAGGGGGCUAGCGUUGUUCGGAUUUACUGGGCGUAAAGCGCACGUAGGCGGACUUUUAAGUCAGGGGUGAAAUCCCGGGGCUCAACCCCGGAACUGCCUUUGAUACUGGAAGUCUUGAGUAUGGUAGAGGUGAGUGGAAUUCCGAGUGGAGAGGUGAAAUUCGUAGAUAUUCGGAGGAACACCAGUGGCGAAGGCGGCUCACUGGACCAUUACUGACGCUGAGGUGCGAAAGCGUGGGAGCAAACAGG